RNAcentral lists this ribosomal RNA (497 nucleotides) under uncultured bacterium. Its description in RNAcentral is "partial 16S ribosomal RNA". It matches the Rfam family "Bacterial small subunit ribosomal RNA", at positions 28 to 507 of the family's 1533-position model. The record is from RNAcentral.
GAUGAACGCUGGCGGCGUGCCUAAUACAUGCAAGUCGAGCGAACAGAUGAGGAGCUUGCUCCUCUGACGUUAGCGGCGGACGGGUGAGUAACACGUGGAUAACCUACCUAUAAGACUGGGAUAACUUCGGGAAACCGGAGCUAAUACCGGAUAAUAUAUUGAACCGCAUGGUUCAAUAGUGAAAGACGGUUUUGCUGUCACUUAUAGAUGGAUCCGCGCCGCAUUAGCUAGUUGGUAAGGUAACGGCUUACCAAGGCAACGAUGCGUAGCCGACCUGAGAGGGAGAUCGGCCACACUGGAACUGAGACACGGUCCAGACUCCGACGGUAGGAAGCAGUAGGGAAUCUUCCGCAAUGGGCGAAAGCCUGACGGAGCAACGCCGCGUGAGUGAUGAAGGUCUUCGGAUCGUAAAACUCUGUUAUUAGGGAAGAACAAAUGUGUAAGUAACUAUGCACAUCUUGACGGUACCUAAUCAGAAAGCCACGGCUAACUACGUG